RNAcentral lists this ribosomal RNA (114 nucleotides) under uncultured eukaryote. RNAcentral's name for it is "partial small subunit ribosomal RNA". It matches the Rfam family "Bacterial small subunit ribosomal RNA", at positions 1412 to 1525 of the family's 1533-position model. The record is from RNAcentral.
AGAGGAUACCAGAAGUUGUUAGGCUAACCGUAAGGAGGCCGAUGACCACGGUAUGUUUUAUGACUGGGGUGAAGUCGUAACAAGGUAGCAGUAGGUGAACCUGCAGAAGGAUCA